GACGAACGCUGGCGGCGUGCUUAACACAUGCAAGUCGAACGGAAAGGCCCCUUUGGGGGUCCUCGAGUGGCGAACGGGUGAGUAACACGUGAGUAACCUGCCCUUGACUUCGGGAUAACUUCAGGAAACUGGGGCUAAUACCGGAUAGGAAUCCUUGCUGCAUGGUGGGGGUUGGAAAGCUUCGGCGGUUUUGGAUGGACUCGCGGCUUAUCAGCUUGUUGGUGGGGUAGUGGCUUACCAAGGCUUUGACGGGUAGCCGGCCUGAGAGGGCGACCGGCCACAUUGGGACUGAGAUAAGGCCCAGACUCCUACGGGAGGCAGCAGUGGGGAAUAUUGCACAAUGGGCGGAAGCCUGAUGCAGCAACGCCGCGUGCGGGAUGACGGCCUUCGGGUUGUAAACCGCUUUCAGCAGGGGCGAAGCUUGUGGUGACGGUACCUGCAGAAGAAGCACCGGCUAACUACGUG
RNAcentral lists this ribosomal RNA (465 nucleotides) under uncultured bacterium. Its description in RNAcentral is "partial 16S ribosomal RNA". It matches the Rfam family "Bacterial small subunit ribosomal RNA", at positions 28 to 507 of the family's 1533-position model. The record is from RNAcentral.